Molecule: long non-coding RNA, 918 nt
Organism: Ochotona curzoniae (black-lipped pika)
Lineage: Eukaryota; Metazoa; Chordata; Mammalia; Lagomorpha; Ochotonidae
Exons: 3
Source: RefSeq, a predicted model, not a curated record
UGUCUACUCUUCCCUCUGGAAGUCUGACCUGCCUUUUCAUUAAAAACAAAUAAAUCUUUUUUAGUGCCCCAAGUCAUGUACAUGAUAUUUUGAAGUGUGGUUUUGUGAUCAUGACAAAAAUAUUAAUAAGAGAUAUUCCCUAACAGUGGUCAUUUCUUUGCCAGGCUGUAUGUCAAAAUGUAGUGUGCAUUAUUUGUUUAUUUGCUGAUGUAAGGUGUUUUACAGCAGACUCCAUAUUGUGAAUGAAGAAUAAUGUUUAAAAUAUGUAGGUGUCUUACAAAAUCGUAAUAGUAAAUGACAAAGCCAGUAUUCAAAGCAUAGAUCUGAGGGACUAAAACAGUUAGUGUGGAAAGUGACUUAUAAAAUCGAUCUGUAGAAAUACAUGCAAAUAAUUUACAGUGGAAAAAAUCUCUUCUACCAUCUCACCAAUUCUGAACGGAGGGUGUUUUAUUGUUAUCUUUACAGGAGCUCAGCAUUUUUGUGCAAUUCUUCCUGGGACUAGAACUUCAUCAAUCACUUUAAACCUUGAGGCAUCAAAAGUAGCUCAGUGCUACCAGCCACCUCACCGGGCCCCACGUAGGUGUGAAUUUGUGACAUCCUGUCAGGAUGAGUAACGAUCCCAGGCUCAUGCAACCCCGAGGAGUAGAAUCCAGCCCACUGCUUUCCAGCACGCAGACUAAACUAACACACGUCAGCCUGCUGGGUGACAUCUGUGAGGACCGGCCACAGCCGGGUGUUCUGAGCUUGGAAAAUGUGGAUGCCACAUGGGAAACGGCUGAGCAAGAGGUGUUAACCGUCCUUAUAUUUGCGAAUGAAAUAAAAAUCAUCAGAAGCUAAGUAACUGAGACCAUCUAGCUAACAAAGAGCCAAAGAUGCUGGUCGUCAUCAGAGUCUAUGUUCCAAGUAUUUUCUUGCCUG